AGGCAGCAGUGGGGAAUAUUGCACAAUGGGGGAAACCCUGAUGCAGCCAUGCCGCGUGUGUGAAGAAGGCCUUCGGGUUGUAAAGCACUUUCAGCGAGGAGGAAAGGUCAGUAGCUAAUAUCUGCUGGCUGUGACGUUACUCGCAGAAGAAGCACCGGCUAACUCCGUGCCAGCAGCCGCGGUAAUACGGAGGGUGCAAGCGUUAAUCGGAAUUACUGGGCGUAAAGCGCACGCAGGCGGUUGGAUAA
This 248-nucleotide ribosomal RNA is filed under the name Aeromonas dhakensis. RNAcentral describes it as "partial 16S ribosomal RNA". It matches the Rfam family "Bacterial small subunit ribosomal RNA", at positions 346 to 586 of the family's 1533-position model. The record is from RNAcentral. Lineage: Bacteria; Pseudomonadati; Pseudomonadota; Gammaproteobacteria; Aeromonadales; Aeromonadaceae.